Molecule: non-coding RNA, 29 nt
Filed under: Homo sapiens (human)
Lineage: Eukaryota; Metazoa; Chordata; Mammalia; Primates; Hominidae
Source: RNAcentral
UAGUAUCUGAACAGUUAAAUAAUACAGGA